CCGGGAAAAAUUAAUUCAGUAAGCGGAGGAAAAGAAACUAACCAGGAUUCUCCUAGUAACGGCGAGUGAACGGAGAUUAGCCCAUCACCGAAGUCUAUUCACUUUUGUGGACAGGACAAUGUGGUGUUAGGGCAUGCACCUGGGUAGAGCUUGCCUACUCGAAGUCCAUCUCCGAUUAUGGCUUUGACUUGGCCCAAAGCGGGUGAAAGGCCCGUACGGGUAGGCUGUGAUUUUAAGCUCUCCUCAGAUGUGUAUGCCUUCGAGUCGGAUUGCUUGAGAAUGCAGUCCAAAGUGGGUGGUAAACUCCAUCCAAGGCUAAAUACUGGCACGAGUCCGAUAGUAGACAAGUACCGUGAGGGAAAGUUGAAAAGUACUCUGAAGAGAGAGUAAAGAGCACGUGAAGCCGCUUGCAGGGAAGCUGGUGGAGUCAAGCUUCUUGUCUGGAGGAUUGUCGUCAGAGGGCUGUUGUUGCGGGACGUGACGCGGGUGAACCUGGAAACGGUUUGCUGCACCUAAAUGCAGUUCAAGUCGCCCCGGGCAGAGUGUUUGUGCCUGCGUCUAUCUCCCACCUCUGGUGCUUUAUUCUCCGUGACAUACAUCACGGUCAAUAGUGGUAAUUCUCGUACUGCGUGAGUGCUUAACCGUGCUUUGGUGGACUUAACCGUCUGCUGGGCAUGGAAUGGCAGAAGGCAUGUGCUGGUCUCGGCCAUCACUAUGCGUUGCUGGUUUUGACCUGCUAGUGCUCAUGUUCAGUAUCGACCCUAUUGUUGUUUUGCGGUGCGUUCUCCUCGGAGUGCGUAUCACUGACAACCGUGAUGCUGAGGUAGACUUUCCACCCGACCCGUCUUGAAAAACGGACCAAGUAUUUUCGGACCAAUC
RNAcentral lists this ribosomal RNA (879 nucleotides) under Dactylogyrus anchoratus. Its description in RNAcentral is "partial large subunit ribosomal RNA". It matches the Rfam family "Eukaryotic large subunit ribosomal RNA", at positions 28 to 686 of the family's 3401-position model. The record is from RNAcentral. Lineage: Eukaryota; Metazoa; Platyhelminthes; Monogenea; Dactylogyridea; Dactylogyridae.